GACGGUAACAGCCCGGUAGUUGAAAUGGCUUUCCCUCCAGAGUGGAUCCUGAGUACGGCGGAACACGUGAAAUUCCGUCGGAAUCCGGGAGGACCAUCUCCCAAGGCUAAAUACUCCCUAGUGACCGAUAGUGAACCAGUACCGUGAGGGAAAGGUGAAAAGCACCCCGGAAGGGGAGUGAAACAGUUCCUGAAACCGUGUGCCUACAAGUAGUUAGAGCCCGUUAAUGGGUGAUAGCGUGCCUUUUGUAGAAUGAACCGGCGAGUUACGAUUUGUUGCAAGGUUAAGCGGAAAAAGCGGAGCCGUAGCGAAAGCGAGUCUGAAUAGGGCGCAUAAGUAACAGGUCGUAGACCCGAAACCAGGUGAUCUACCCAUGUCCAGGAUGAAGGUAAGGUAAUACUUACUGGAGGUCCGAACCCACGCACGUUGAAAAGUGCGGGGAUGAGGUGUGGGUAGCGGAGAAAUUCCAAUCGAACUUGGAGAUAGCUGGUUCUCUCCGAAAUAGCUUUAGGGCUAGCCUCGAGGUAAAGAGUCAUGGAGGUAG
This 544-nucleotide ribosomal RNA is filed under the name Listeria monocytogenes. Its description in RNAcentral is "partial 23S ribosomal RNA". It matches the Rfam family "Bacterial large subunit ribosomal RNA", at positions 360 to 905 of the family's 2925-position model. Lineage: Bacteria; Bacillati; Bacillota; Bacilli; Caryophanales; Listeriaceae. The record is from RNAcentral.